This 355-nucleotide unclassified non-coding RNA is filed under the name soil metagenome. RNAcentral describes it as "partial contains 5.8S ribosomal RNA, internal transcribed spacer 2, and large subunit ribosomal RNA". The stretch from base 1 to 120 matches the Rfam family "5.8S ribosomal RNA", at positions 35 to 154 of the family's 154-position model. The record is from RNAcentral.
GAUGAAGAACGCAGCGAAAUGCGAUAAGUAGUGUGAAUUGCAGAAUUCAGUGAAUCAUCGAAUCUUUGAACGCACAUUGCGCCUUCUAGUAUUCUGGGAGGCAUGCCUGUUUGAGCGUCAUUAAACCUCUCUCAAGUAUGAUUACUUGGAUGUGAAGGAAGAGUACCUUAAACUUAAGGAGUGUUCUCCUUUGAAAUUGAUUAGCAGAUGGUAAUGUUAUUAAAUCCCUGAUGUUGUAAGAAAUAACAGUGGUUUUGUAGACUAUUAUCUAGCUUUAAAUUAUAAUUUUUAUUAUGGUUGACCUCAAAUCAGGUAAGGAUACGCGCUGAACUUAAGCAUAUCAAUAAGCGGAGGA